UGCCAUGUCAGCCUCUGUCAGUGUCC
Molecule: non-coding RNA, 26 nt
Filed under: Macaca fascicularis (crab-eating macaque)
Lineage: Eukaryota; Metazoa; Chordata; Mammalia; Primates; Cercopithecidae
Also listed under: 1 other name
Source: RNAcentral